This is a long non-coding RNA of Acanthopagrus latus (yellowfin seabream), 778 nucleotides long. RefSeq lists it as uncharacterized. The record is from RefSeq and is a predicted model, not a curated record. The transcript has 3 exons. Lineage: Eukaryota; Metazoa; Chordata; Actinopteri; Spariformes; Sparidae.
ACACACAAACACACACAAACAAACACACACACACACACACACACACACACACACACACACACACACACACACACACACACAGUGUUCAGGGUGUGUGCUGCUGCAGAAGAGCUACAUCUGCAAAGUGUGGCCGAGGGAAAAGAGCUGAGAGACAGAGAAAGAUGGAGGAGUUGGUGUAUGGUGUUUAUAUGCAUGUGGGUGAGUGUUUUUGGGGGGGUGAGGAGAGGAGGGAGGGGGAUGGAUCAGAAGCCAACAGAAGCCUCCCCUCCCUCUCCCUUUCUCUUCCCUGCAAUGCCCACCUCCUCCUCCCCCUCCCCUUGAGUAAAUCUAUAGGGAGGGAAGGCAGAGACAGGUGCAUUUCUCCACAAAUUGAGUUAGCCAAGACAUGCCACAUCCAAUUGGGCUAAAUUGAUGUGAGAGUUUGUGAUGUCUGCCGUGGGUAUUACAGCAAAGGUCAGUGUGCCGAGACAAUGACAUCAAUCUGGUCCACGUGGCCGAGCGCUCGGGCCCCCGUCAGCCCCCUGAUUCAGAUGCAAACCUGCAAACACAGCCAGGGGAAGGAGAGGGCGGACAACUGCAAACUGCCCUGCUGCUGCUGCUGGAAGUCAUGAUGAACGGAGAAGGAUGGCGUUGAUAACGCCUUCACCAUCCAUGAGUCGACUUCAGCAGGAAUACCGACUCUAUCUCUUCCAGCUCUGCGCUGCAGUGUCAUCGCUCAGACAUCAGAGAGCGGCCUUCUGGGAACAGGAAGUAAAUCAGAGCCUGCAGUGGACAGACC